CUGUCUCCGCAUAAAGCAUCUGCUGCUGCAGAGCCUAAAAACUCCAGGAAACAAAGCUCCCUUAGAUGGAAGAAGCUGGGCCAAUGAAACUCUCUCCUCCAUCCUCACCAACUCUCAACCCUGACUGGAAGCGCUGUGGUGCUGAGAUCACAGAGCGGUGUGUCAUUUAGCACCAGUGCAUUUUUCUUUCUUUCUUUCUUUUUUCUUUUUUUUUUUUUGGACAUUUAUCCACUGUGACCUGGGCUGAGACCACCAACUGGAUCUGCCUGGUCUCCAGUGCUUACCUGAAGGCUUCAUCUUUCCCUCCAGUCUCUGGUUUUCUGCAGCACCCAUGUGCUGCUAGCGUUUCUGAACAGCCAUUGUAUGGUGAGCGCUCUCCACCACGAUGCUGAGCUGUGCUGAGGGCAAUGUAAAAAGAUGCAGCCUGGAAGGACCAGUUGUGAGCACUGCCAUCUCAAAGGUCUCUGGCAGCUGAGAGGGAUCCAGAGAGGCACAACAGAAAAAGAUGAUUAACAGGGUGGACUUCUGAGGAAGGAAUAAAAGAGUUAAAAGGGGG
This is a long non-coding RNA of Gopherus flavomarginatus (Mexican gopher tortoise), 556 nucleotides long. RefSeq lists it as uncharacterized. The transcript is spliced from 3 exons. NCBI's taxonomy places the organism in Eukaryota, Metazoa, Chordata, Testudines, Testudinidae. The record is from RefSeq and is a predicted model, not a curated record.